UGAAUACAGAUAAUGCAAUCCAAAAAACAAGAGUAAAACAAAGAAAAAUAAACAGCCUCAGAGAAACAUGGAACCAUCACCGUGUAGUGGGAGUCCCAGAAGGAGAGGAGAAAGAAAACUAGGAGAAAAAAUUAUUAGAAGAAAUAAUGCCUAAAAACCCCAAAUUUGAUGAAAAACAUGAAGAAGAUCAGCACAUUCUUAAAGCAGAAUGAUCCACACCCAGACGUGUCAGAAUAAAAAUAUUGAAAGACAAAAAUCUUGAAGACACAAAACCCACUUGUACAAGAAAACCUCAUUAACGAUUGACUUGGAAGCAAUGGAGGCCUGAAGGCAGUGGACUGACAUGCAAAGUGCUGAAUGAGAAAACUGUCAACCAAGAAUCUUAUAUCUAGCAAAACUGUCUUUCAGAAAUGAAGGCAAAGUAAGGACAUUCUUGCAUUUUAAGAAUUCAUUCUGGGGCUGGCCCCGUGGCUGAGUGGUUAAGUUUGCACACUCUGCUGCAGUGGCCCAGGGUUUCACCGGUUCUAAUCCUGAGAACAGACAUGGCACCACUCAUCAGGCCAUGCUGAGGCAGCAUCCCACAUAGCGCAACUAAAACUACACAACUAUGUACUGAGGGGCUUUGGGAGAAAAAGGAAAAAUAAAAUCUUAAAAAAAAAAAUUCGUUCUGAGGAAACUCACCUUACAAUAAGUACUAAAGGAGGCUUUUCAAGCUGAAAGGAAGUGAGAUCACACAGUAGUUCAAAUACUCAUGAAAAAAUGGAAUGCCAGUAAAGAUAAUUAUGUAGGAAAUUAUAAAAGACGUUGUAAUGACCUAUUGUCCUUUCUUCUCUCAGCUGACUUAGAAAACAAUUCUAUAAAAUAUAUAAUAUGUGUAUGAUUGUAGUGUUUCAUCUGUAACAGAAAUGUGACAAUAACACCAUGAAGGAGGUGGGAGCAAAUCUGUAUUUCAAUAAUGAAUCCACAGAAAGAGAUGAAGACAACAAGAAAUGCGGAAGAAAUCUGAAACAAAUGAAAGAUCCAGCCUUCAUUUAUAGAUGUUCUUCCCAAGGCUUUCAGAUUUGAAUGAGAAAGUAUGAACCCUGGGAGUUGUUGGAAGCCAUCUUGGGUAGAAGGUUGGGGGAGGGGAAACCAUAGGAUGAAGCUGACACUCAAGAAAGCAGAGUGGAGGGACAAAAGGAUUCCAG
This is a long non-coding RNA of Equus asinus (donkey), 1187 nucleotides long. Lineage: Eukaryota; Metazoa; Chordata; Mammalia; Perissodactyla; Equidae. The record is from Ensembl.